UACGGAGGGGGCAAGCGUUGUUCGGAGUCACUGGGCGUAAAGGGCGCGUAGGCGGUGCAUAAAGUCAGGCGUGAAAGCCCCGGGCUUAACCUGGGAAUUGCGCUUGAUACUGAUGCGCUUGAGAACGGGAGAGGAUGGCGGAAUUCCCAGUGUAGAGGUGAAAUUCGUAGAUAUUGGGAAGAACACCGGUGGCGAAGGCGGCCAUCUGGACCGUUUCUGACGCUGAGGCGCGAAAGCGUGGGGAGCAAACAGG
This 253-nucleotide ribosomal RNA is filed under the name uncultured bacterium. RNAcentral describes it as "partial 16S ribosomal RNA". It matches the Rfam family "Bacterial small subunit ribosomal RNA", at positions 524 to 776 of the family's 1533-position model. The record is from RNAcentral.